RNAcentral lists this long non-coding RNA (2959 nucleotides) under Canis lupus familiaris (dog). RNAcentral's name for it is "lncRNA (ENSCAFG00000052238.1)". The record is from RNAcentral. Lineage: Eukaryota; Metazoa; Chordata; Mammalia; Carnivora; Canidae.
UUUUAUUUACUAAUUAUACUGUUCAGAAAUUCCCACUGGAAGUGACAUAGUCCUUUUAGGACCUGUGAACAAAACCGUUAACAACUUUCUAUGCAGUCCAAAAUAAGCAGAAGAGAACACUUUUUUUUUUCUCAAGGUUUAACAUAGGGAGCCAGACAAGAUGCCUGUGCAAAAGGCUACCAGUGAGAUGGUAAGAUUUUUAAGAUUGGAUGUGAGUAAACAAAUGUAUUCAUUAAGAACUACGGGUUACUACUUUAUUAUAUCCUAUUGGAAUGUAACUCUAGGAGGGUAGGGAGUUUUGUUUUUCACUAAUAUAACCUCAGUGCCAGAACAGUACCUGGAGCAGAGCGGGCAUUUGAUACAUACCUUUUCUGAGUGUAUAAAUGAAUCCCAAAGCUAAAUAUGUAGUAAGUUGUCUUUUAUAAAUCUUAGUGGUUUGCUUUUUUUCAGAUGGUCAUAUAAGAAAAUUUUUUUUACAUUGAAAAUGUAAUAUUUAAAAAUACCUUUUCAAGCCAAGAUUAUUAUUCUCAUUUAAAAUACAUUUUUUUUAAAUUGUAGCUCAGCAUCUCCUUUUUCUACAAUAUCAUGUUAUUAAGUGUUCAUCAAAAUACCACAAGGUGGCAUACAAAACCUCAAAAAGACAUUUCUGAAAUUCUGUCAAAAUUUUACUACAUACUUAAUAGAAAAACCUCCCUAAAAUCCAGGCAAGAGACCCCCAGCCCUGGACCCUUUGCUUGAGGGCUAGGUUCUAUGCCACUCUAGCAUACAUCCCUACCUACAGGGUGAGAACACCACAGAGCCCAGGGGCAUGUCCCUCCACACCUGGAAAACCUCUUCCAAGGCCUUGCCUUUCUGCUCCAUCCCAGGAGGACAGAUGAAACUGAAGAGCACAUUCCAAAAGUCUGGACUGCUCAAGCAGCACCUCUGCAGGAGCUGGGGUGGGUUGUCCUUGGGAGAUGGCACUGGGACAAGGAGGGCUCUCGGAGUCCAUCUCUCCCUGCUUUGAACUCCUUAGUGCAGGGCUUGAGGAGUCCAAGAAUCCUGGGAACCUUAAGAAGGCAUGUUUGCCAAGGUAGGAACAGUUUGUUAGUGUGAUUUAUGACUUCUGAUGAUUUUGAUUAUUUAUGACCUCCAUUUUCAGUGACCGGGCCCUGCAAACAUUAGAAUCAGGGCUGUGGUAUAUAAUUUGUUGAUAUUUUUGUGUAUAUUUGCUUACUUACAAUCUGUACUUGGAAUCUCUGCAUUAGAAUUCUGAAAUUUCAGUAACAAAAUCAGUGGCUUAUUUGAAUGGCUUGUAUUGGCUAUUUAUCAGGGGGUAAAAACAACUUUCAUCAAAAUGGCCUACAAUGGAAUUUGUAAACAAAUGUUAAGUACAGCAGCUAUUGCAGCUUUCUACCACUACUUCAGUUUUCCUCCUUCCAGGAAAUAGAGUAGGACUGUACUUACCUAUCCCUUGGUGUCAGUUGUGGCUAUGCAGCUAGUUUUGUUGUUGUUGUUGUUGUGUUAAAACUCUGGUUUAGAUUCUUCUUCUAAUAAUUUUGAGAUGCAACUCUCAGAUCAUAAAAUUCAUCCUUUUAAAAGUGUACAAUUCAGUAGAUUUUAGUAUUUUCAGUUAUGCAAGUAACACCAUUAACUUUACAACUUUUGUACCAUUGUCACAAAAAGCAACUGGUACCCGUUGGCAAAGUAUGACUAGGUUUGACCAUUGCAAUUUGAGUAUGAAGGUUGUGCGUCACGCUCAGCAAGUCUUUUCACAGCUAGUGGUAGGUUCCCCACAUUCUCCUCUUGCCAUGGUGGGUGGUGUAUUCCAUAAACGAGACUCUAUCAGCCUGCAUCUUGGAGGAUAAAAACAGAGCCAAGCUCUUAACAAACCAAGAACGUGGCUAAGAGUUUCACUGUGUUGAGUCACUAAGAUCUCGGGGUUCUCCGUAAACACAGCAUAGUAUGGCCCACGUGCACUGGAUUAAUGAUCUGAUCAGAAAUCAGAGAGAAUUUUUCAAAAGUGCUUAGAAAUUGUAAUUAGAAAAUGACUCACUACUCAUUACCGUCUUACAAUGAAAAAGAGGCUGAUUUUGAAUGAUUAUUGAAGGAAAGCCACUUCAUCUGAGCUAAGAAAAGGACACUUCGCCAAAUAUAUUUACCAUCGAGGAUCCAAUAUAACUCCAUCACGAAUUUUGGUCUGCUGAUGGGAAUGUGAUAGUUACCACUAUUUGAGACAACUAUGCUUUAAGGUUUCUUUUGGAAUCCUACCUGUAAUUUACUUGGUCUCUGGCAUAAGAUAAAACUCCAGAAUGAAUUUUUUUUCUUUCAAUCGUUUAUCUUUUAGCCUGUGUUAAACAUAAUUUAAUCUUUCUUAAGUGAGUAAUUGCAGUAUCUCAGGUCUCUAUUUUCAGUAUCCCAUCACUGUUCAGCAUGGUUGACAUAUAAAAUGAGAUAUUCUGUAGAUCUUAAGGUAUGUUCUAUUGUUUUUAAAAGAUAUUAUUUAUUCAUGAAACACACAGAGAGGCAGAGACAUUAGGCAGAUCAUAAAAUCCAUCCUUUUAAAGUGUACAAUAUAACGUGUAAAGCAGGCUCCCUGUGGGGAGCCCGAUGUGGGACUCGAUCCCAGGACUCCAGGAUCACAGCCUAAGCCAAGGUAGAUGCUCAACCACUGAGCCAUCCAGGUGCCCCUGCUCUAUUAAUAAUGCUACUAGCAUAGUUUAGGUUCCCAUUACUCAUCAUCAUUGCACAAUCAUAUCAACUAAUCCCCAUUCUUUUCUUCUCUUCCUCUAAUCUUUAUUAGCUGCCAGAUUAAAAAUCCUAAAACGUAGUUCUGCUCAUGACUUUUCCCUAUACAAAAACCUUCAGUAGAAGCUCUUGGCCGGCUCAGUGAAGCAUGUGACUCUUCAUCUUGGAGUAGUGAGGUCAAGCCCCAGGCUGGGGGAAGAGCUUACAUAAAAAAAAAAAAAAAAAAAAAAAA